Molecule: ribosomal RNA, 1828 nt
Filed under: Triticum aestivum (bread wheat)
Lineage: Eukaryota; Viridiplantae; Streptophyta; Magnoliopsida; Poales; Poaceae
Description: partial small subunit ribosomal RNA
Source: RNAcentral
CUUUAUCACCGGCCGAAGCAGCCUCUGAGCCACAGUUGGAAGAAGAGACGGUCUCCGAGCCUCGGUUUGGGGUAAGGUCCUUAGCGGCUCGUCGUUUGUUACCCGUCGGGACGGCGGUAGGAGGAUCGGCACGAUGAGCGGCGCGAGCGCAUGCACGAGGCGCACGAGGCGCGGGAGCACACCCGGGGCGUGGCGGACCUCGCGGCGGACGCGGCCGUCCCGUAGGCCCCGGGAGGCGCGUCGGAGUAGAGGCCUUUGCCCCGGCUGAUGCCGCGGGAACAGCGGCGGCGGGUCAGGUCCGGCGAGCGGAGGAAGGUGGUGCGGUAGCAGCCGGCGCAGCGCGGCGUGAUGGCGCUCACCCGCCGCGCCAUGCCGGCCGGCAAACACAAGACCAAGCCCGGGGCCAGCACCGACCACAAGAGGUCGGGCCUUCAGCGGUUCCGGCGCGAGUUGCUGAGGUGCCCCUGGAAGCUAUUCCGACCGUUGCCGCCGCCGUCGUUGGGCGAGCGAGCCGUCGAGUAGCCGCUCCCCGACCACCCCGAGUGGCCCCUCUUCACCCGCGUGGUGGCGGCGCAAUAGAGCGGGCGGAAGUUGUACCUCUCCCAGUUCCCGACCUAUGGUCUUUACAGUCGUUAGCGGAGUAGGUACGACCUAUUUACCCUUCAGGUUCCUCCUUGGGUGUGACUCAAACUCUAACUGCGUUCAUUUCUUAAGGUUUGAAAGUCAAGACUACAAUAAAGAGCACACCGUAAACCUUCAUCGAUGCUCCUUCCUUUCGCUCAAAAAGUUAACGUUCUUCUUGUCUAUUUUGAUCGGGAGGAACGUUACUCUUGGAAGAUGAAAGGACCUAAGUCCAAACAUGGCUGUUUCUUCUUGGCUUCUUCCGUAUCGGAUUUGGUCCUUUAGGCUUCAAGAGACGCCUUUAACUAACUCUAGUUACCUUCCUUCACACUCCUGAGGUUUUUAAACGAACCGAACUACGAUAGUCGGUCGUUUUGACUGUUACUCAAGUUUUACCCUUAGCUUCUCUAGUAACUACUCACGUUCUGUAAAAUGAAGCGGCCAUUUCUUUGUUGACGUUUAAACAACUGUACCCGUUGUGAAGACGACCGUAACGUAUUUCUUACCGUUCUGUUUCGGGUACCGCUUCAGAUAGUUCACACACCGUUUGUGUUCGUGGGUUUACGCCUUUUGGAAUCGUCAGAGUUUUAACAUUUAUACCACAACUUCCUCUGGGAGUCCGACAUAGGAGGUCGAGACAAGUAGUUGUCCUGUCAGUGAUCCCUACACUUCGACCCGUUUGAGCUGUAGGGACGUCCGUGCGUCGAGUUAGACGGAUAAUAACUGUAAGUGGUACUACAGCUGUAUACCCCUCGAUUACGCCUGCUCAAGCUAGGUAACUCCAAACGUCUACCGUUCUCGAUGGUGGAGCCGCGCAUGAAGGGAAACCCUAACCGGGACGGUAGACACAACCCGUCUUAGAACGCUACCAACUCCGUUUCGACCGCGAACGUUACCAGGAGGUCGCCAAACGCAAACUACAGAGUGGCAGGAUACAAGUACGCAGCUACUUCCACUACUGGGAGGUUGGGGUCAUACCACGAGUUGAAGAACAGGUGUCCUAGACUCGGAACACACCACGACAUAUACCUUAACCCUCCACACUGUCGUUCAACACUUUUCUUCAUACUCGUUAGGGUCAAGACUUCCUCGUCUUCGUCAAGACUUCUACUAGUCAAAUGGUUAUGUUCAGGUAUACGAAGGCCUGUCGGUGUCGUCCCUCACCCGACUCGUGACCCCCAAACGAGGCCGGCAGUCGGGAGACGUG